This 231-nucleotide ribosomal RNA is filed under the name uncultured bacterium. Its description in RNAcentral is "partial 16S ribosomal RNA". It matches the Rfam family "Bacterial small subunit ribosomal RNA", at positions 15 to 235 of the family's 1533-position model. The record is from RNAcentral.
GAUCAUGGCUCAGGAUGAACGCUAGCUACAGGCUUAACACAUGCAAGUCGAGGGGAAACGACAUCGAAAGCUUGCUUUUGAUGGGCGUCGACCGGCGCACGGGUGAGUAACGCGUAUCCAACCUGCCCAUCACUUGGGAAUAACCUUGCGAAAGUAAGACUAAUACCCAAUGAUAUCCCACGAAGGCAUCCGAAUGGGAUUAAAGAUUCAUCGCUGAUAGAUAGGCAUGCG